UUUAGAGCUGCGUCACAGAGCUCAGCGAGAGAGCGAGAGAGCAAGCUCCGUCGAUAGGUCUACCAGCAACAGCCCUGCUGCAGCAAGAGGGGAGAGAAGCAGCCAGAGAGGGAGAGAGGGCUCAAGAAAGAGAAGUAAUACCAACACCAGGGACGGAGCUCCUGUCACCAGACGGUGUCAUUUAGAGAACGUAUCUGGGCUCGGUUGGCGUAGGAGGCUUCGCCCAUUGACGAUGCUGGAGACCCGGCGCACUUAAUCCCGCGGGGAGGGAGAGUGGGCAGACGCCGAAAGGGUUAACGGAAAGGAAAUUUCUGGAACCUUCUAUUCUGCGGCGCUACACAGCAAGCGGAGGGCUGAACGCUGCGCAGCUGGUGCACGGGCAGAGCUCCUCGGUCCGGUUCGUCUUUCCCACGUCACCACUUGCACUGUCACACCCCUCUGUCCUGCACCUGGCCUGGUCUGACUCAUCUCUUGACUGAGGGUUGCCUCUCUGCCUCAGCUCUGCAUGCAGAACAGGGAUAUUUCCUGCAGGGGAGACCAGAAAUGGAUGAUCCAAGAAUUUAAUUCUGGCAUUUCAAAAUGGAGAGAAAAAAAAAAAAAAAUGCUCACUGCAGAAUGCCCAGAAACUGCCCUUAUAUAUAUAGGCAGUUGUGAGAAAUCAGGUCUGCAGCACUGACUUGCCACGUUCCUGCAGACUACAUUAAAGGUCCUCAGCUAGGGAGGAGGUUCCCUUUCAUGGGGCAGACAGGGAUUUCUUGCCUUUUUUUGCCUUGUCUAGAGGAUAUAAAGCAGCAUGGAGUCCUGAAAGGCUUAGAGAGGUUCCUCUGAAGGAAGCUAUAGCACACCGCUGCUGCUGCUAAAAUACAUCAGAAAAGGAAAAAAGAAUAAUAACACCGUACUUUCUUUGCUAUUACUUACAAAAACUCUGGAAUACUUUGACAAA
Molecule: long non-coding RNA, 943 nt
Organism: Lagopus leucura (white-tailed ptarmigan)
Lineage: Eukaryota; Metazoa; Chordata; Aves; Galliformes; Phasianidae
Exons: 2
Source: RefSeq, a predicted model, not a curated record